Molecule: microRNA precursor, 96 nt
Filed under: Cercocebus atys (sooty mangabey)
Lineage: Eukaryota; Metazoa; Chordata; Mammalia; Primates; Cercopithecidae
Description: miRNA (ENSCATG00000018816.1)
Source: RNAcentral
UGAGGCAGGAGAAUUGCUUGAACCCAGGAGGUGGAGGCUGCAGUGAGCCGAGAUCGGACCACUGCACUCCAGCCUGGGCGACACAGCGAGACUCCA